GCUUUCUUUUGGCCGUUGGCUGGGUCUUCCAAGCUUCCGGGACAGCGUCAAGGAGGCGUGGCCGCUGUCUUGAGGACAAGUCCUCGAUGUGCCCUCUGACGCUGGCACGAGCGUGUUCUGGACCCGUGCCGUGCCCCCAGGCAGCUGGGGAGUUGUCUGCCGUGUAGUCCGGCGGCCACCAGGAGAAUCUGACCCAGUGUCCUGGAUGGGCCAGUUCCCAGUCGUGCGCUCGUGGCCCAGACCAGACCCGGGCUGGUGUGUGGAGCCAGCCACGCGGGCCCGUCUGUCCUCCGUGCCCUGAGUGGGCGCAGAUGAGAGAGGGCGCGGUUGCUCCGUCCGCUUUUCUCCCCUCUCGCCCCCGUGCGGGGAGCCGUCCAGCGGGGCCUGGCUGGACUGAGCCCGUGCCGGACACGGUGCUCAGUUGCCGUCCUGGAGGGCCCAGAGGAUUGCUCGAGGUGUGCCCACCAGGCCCCUCCCCUGAGACAGGGGGCUGGCUGGGUGCCGUCAGGCUCUUUCUUGGCUCCCCCUGGAACCCGGAGGUGGCCCUUGCCUGGUUCCUGGAUCCUUUCACUUCCCCUUCCUCGUCGCCUUGCCGUGUGGAAGGGAAGGGCCGCUCUUAGCCCGCCAGCCCUGGCCAAGGAGGGGAACCCACUUGGAGGGUGGGGUGGCACCAAGGCCUUGCGCGGCCCAACGCACAAGGGGGGAUGGCGGGCCCUCGCCCUGGCCCCGGUGCCACCAGUUUCCCUUGGUCGGGAUUCUUUGUGGCCUAGGCAGGCAGGCGCCCAUGCUGUCUCCGCACUGACCUAGGCACCCACCCACAUGAGGCGUCGGGAGGUGUGGGGCCGGGAGAACAUUUCUCUGCCUGGUUUCCUAGGCGGAGGCAGGUGUGUUGUCGGCAAAGACCCUCACUCAGGCCAAGUGUGUGAUGUCUCUUCUUCUUCCGCAGACGCCGAGCCCGGCACCCGGGAACCUGUUCCGGACGUGCCGCUCCCAACCAUGACUCCCAGCACCGAGGCUGACCACGACCACGACCACGACCACGACCACGACCACGACGCCGAGCCCGGCACCCGGGAACCUGUUCCGGACGUGCCGCUCCCAACCAUGACUCCCAGCACCAAGGCUGACCACGACCACGACCACGACCACGACGCCGAGCCCGGCACCCGGGAACCUGUUCCGGACGUGCCGCUCCCAACCAUGACUCCCAGCACCGAGGAGGCUGACCACGACCACGACCACGACCACGACCCCGACCCCGAGCACGACCACGACCACGACCACGACCACGACCACGACCACGGUAGGGGCCCGUGUGCCUUGUGUCCUCUGCCCCUGGGAGCCCGCUGGGUUGCCGGGGCUCCUUGAGCGAGAACGGGCUUUCCUAUUGCCUCCGGGACCGGGAAGGUGUCGCCAUGCGAUUCCUUGUCCCGAAACGCUGGCCUGUGCUCUGGAGCUGCGGGGACGUCCUCGGGGCUCUGCCCGGGAAGGAUGUGCUCUCUGGGGAGAGAGGGGCCGCGGUGCGAGUCAGGCGCUCCGAGACGGGGCCGUGUGUCCUCCCGGGUGCUCUGGUUGGCUGCACGCUGCCUGGGCCUGUCCGCAGGUUGUCCGUUUCUCUGCGUGGUGGUCUGCUGACCCGUGCGGGAGGGGCGUAGGCUUCUCGCCCUCCACGUCUGCUCCCGCCAUGACCACCCGGGGGUCUGGUGCAGCACUCCCAGCCGCAUGCCUGG
RNAcentral lists this long non-coding RNA (1730 nucleotides) under Oryctolagus cuniculus (rabbit). Its description in RNAcentral is "lncRNA (ENSOCUG00000031133.1)". The record is from RNAcentral. Lineage: Eukaryota; Metazoa; Chordata; Mammalia; Lagomorpha; Leporidae.